RNAcentral lists this ribosomal RNA (429 nucleotides) under uncultured archaeon. RNAcentral describes it as "bacterial SSU rRNA". It matches the Rfam family "Archaeal small subunit ribosomal RNA", at positions 474 to 903 of the family's 1478-position model. The record is from RNAcentral.
UACCUGCAGCUCGAGUGGUAACCGCUAUUAUUGGGCCUAAAGCGUCCGUAGCCGGUUUGGUAAAUAUCUGGGUAAAUCGUGAGGCUUAACUUCACGAAUUUCGGAUAGACUGCCAGACUUGGGAUCGGGGGAGGUCAGAGGUACUCCAGGGGUAGCGGUGAAAUGUUGUAAUCCUUGGAGGACCACCGGUAGCGAAGGCGUCUGACUAGAACGAGUCCGACGGUGAGGGACGAAGCCCUGGGGCGCAAACCGGAUUAGAUACCCGGGUAGUCCAGGGUGUAAACGAUGUGGGCUUUGUAUUGGAGGUCCCACAUGGGCGUCCAGUGCAGAAGAGAAGUUGUUAAGCCCACCGCCUGGGAAGUACGGUCGCAAGGCUGAAACUUAAAGGAAUUGGCGGGGGAGCACAGCAACGGGAGGAGCGUGCGGUUU